AAAGAGACAGGUGAAUCAUCGAAUCUUUGAACGCACAUUGCGCCCGGUAGUACUCUACCGGGCAUGCCUGUUCGAGCGUCAUUUCAACCCUCAAGCCCUGCUUGGCGUUGGGGCCCCUACGGCCGCCGUAGGCCCUGAAAGGAAGUGGCGGGCUCGCUACAACUCCGAGCGUAGUAACUCACUGUCUCGCUAGGGAGGUUGCCGCGUGCUCCUGCCGUUAAAGACCACAUCUUUAACCAAAGGUUGACCUCGGAUCAGGUAGGGAUACCCGCUGAACUUAAGCAUAUCAAUAAGCGGAGG
Molecule: unclassified non-coding RNA, 300 nt
Filed under: uncultured Coniochaeta
Lineage: Eukaryota; Fungi; Ascomycota; Sordariomycetes; Coniochaetales
Description: sequence contains 5.8S rRNA gene, ITS2
Rfam family: 5.8S ribosomal RNA (bases 1-81)
Source: RNAcentral